RNAcentral lists this ribosomal RNA (465 nucleotides) under Vreelandella stevensii. RNAcentral's name for it is "partial 16S ribosomal RNA". It matches the Rfam family "Bacterial small subunit ribosomal RNA", at positions 338 to 795 of the family's 1533-position model. Lineage: Bacteria; Pseudomonadati; Pseudomonadota; Gammaproteobacteria; Oceanospirillales; Halomonadaceae. The record is from RNAcentral.
CCUACGGGGCGCUGCAGUGGGGAAUAUUGGACAAUGGGCGAAAGCCUGAUCCAGCCAUGCCGCGUGUGUGAAGAAGGCCUUCGGGUUGUAAAGCACUUUCAGUGGGGAAGAAAGCCUUGGGGCUAAUACCCUCGAGGAAGGACAUCACCCACAGAAGAAGCACCGGCUAACUCCGUGCCAGCAGCCGCGGUAAUACGGAGGGUGCGAGCGUUAAUCGGAAUUACUGGGCGUAAAGCGCGCGUAGGCGGUCUGAUAAGCCGGUUGUGAAAGCCCCGGGCUCAACCUGGGAACGGCAUCCGGAACUGUCAGGCUAGAGUGCAGGAGAGGAAGGUAGAAUUCCCGGUGUAGCGGUGAAAUGCGUAGAGAUCGGGAGGAAUACCAGUAGCGAAGGCGGUCUUCUGGACUGACACUGACGCUGAGGUGCGAAAGCGUGGGUAGCAAACAGGAUUAGAUACCCGAGUAGUC